UACGAAGGGGGCUAGCGUUGCUCGGAAUCACUGGGCGUAAAGCGCACGUAGGCGGAUCGUUAAGUCAGGGGUGAAAUCCUGGAGCUCAACUCCAGAACUGCCUUUGAUACUGGCGAUCUUGAGUUCGGGAGAGGUGAGUGGAACUGCGAGUGUAGAGGUGAAAUUCGUAGAUAUUCGCAAGAACACCAGUGGCGAAGGCGGCUCACUGGCCCGAUACUGACGCUGAGGUGCGAAAGCGUGGGGAGCAAAAGGG
This 253-nucleotide ribosomal RNA is filed under the name uncultured bacterium. RNAcentral describes it as "partial 16S ribosomal RNA". It matches the Rfam family "Bacterial small subunit ribosomal RNA", at positions 524 to 776 of the family's 1533-position model. The record is from RNAcentral.